This 491-nucleotide ribosomal RNA is filed under the name Photobacterium frigidiphilum. RNAcentral's name for it is "bacterial LSU rRNA". It matches the Rfam family "Bacterial large subunit ribosomal RNA", at positions 1 to 535 of the family's 2925-position model. Lineage: Bacteria; Pseudomonadati; Pseudomonadota; Gammaproteobacteria; Vibrionales; Vibrionaceae. The record is from RNAcentral.
GUUGUAUGGUUAAGUGACUAAGCGUACACGGUGGAUGCCUUGGCAGUCAGAGGCGAUGAAGGACGUAUUAACUUGCGAUAAGCGUAGAUUAGGCAGUAAAAGCCACUUGAGUCUACGAUUUCCGAAUGGGGAAACCCACGUGCAUAAGCACGUAUCGUUACGUAAAUACAUAGCGUAACGAGGCGAACCGGGGGAACUGAAACAUCUAAGUACCCCGAGGAAGAGAAAUCAAUUGAGAUUCCGGCAGUAGCGGCGAGCGAACCCGGAUUAGCCCUUAAGCAGCAUUAGCGUUAGGUGAAGGUACUGGAAAGUACAGCGAUACAGGGUGAUAGCCCCGUAACCGACAACGCUUUUACUGUGAAAUCGAGUAGGACGGGACACGUGAUAUCCUGUUUGAACAUGGGGGGACCAUCCUCCAAGGCUAAAUACUCCUGACUGACCGAUAGUGAACCAGUACCGUGAGGGAAAGGCGAAAAGAACCCCUGUGAGGG